This 275-nucleotide ribosomal RNA is filed under the name uncultured bacterium. RNAcentral describes it as "partial 16S ribosomal RNA". It matches the Rfam family "Archaeal small subunit ribosomal RNA", at positions 473 to 748 of the family's 1478-position model. The record is from RNAcentral.
AUACCAACUCCCCGAGUGGUCGGGACGUUUAUUGGGCUUAAAGCGUCCGUAGCCGGCCUGGUAAGUCCCCGGUUAAAUCCGGCGUCUCAAGCGCCGGGCUGCCGGGGAUACUGCCAGGCUAGGGAGCGGGAGAGGCGGGCGGUAUUCCCGGGGUAGGGGUAAAAUCCUCAGAUCCCGGGAGGACCAUCAGUGGCGAAGGCGGCCCGCUAGAACGCGUCCGACGGUGAGGGACGAAAGCUGGGGGAGCGAUCCGGAUUAGAAACCCUAGUAGUCCC